Molecule: ribosomal RNA, 351 nt
Filed under: uncultured bacterium
Lineage: Bacteria
Description: bacterial SSU rRNA
Rfam family: Bacterial small subunit ribosomal RNA
Source: RNAcentral
GGGCCCGCACAAGCGGUGGAGCAUGUGGUUUAAUUCGAUGAUACGCGAGGAACCUUACCAAGGCUUAAAUGCAAUACGAAUAUAGGGGAAACUUUAUAGUCUUCGGACGGAUUGCAAGGUGCUGCAUGGUUGUCGUCAGCUCGUGCCGUGAGGUGUCAGGUUAAGUCCUAUAACGAGCGCAACCCCUAUCGUUAGUUGCCAUCAUUUAGUUGGGGACUCUAGCGAGACUGCCUACGCAAGUAGAGAGGAAGGUGGGGAUGACGUCAAAUCAUCACGGCCCUUACGUUUUGGGCUACACACGUGCUACAAUGGUAGGUACAGAGGGCAGGCUACCCCUGCGAGGGAUGCGAA